CGAAGGGUGCUAGCGUUGUUCGGAAUCACUGGGCGUAAAGCGCGCGUAGUCGGCUUUGCAAGUCAGGGGUGAAAUGCCAAGGCUUAACCUUGGAACUGCCUUUGAAACUGCAAAGCUAGAGUGUCGGAGGGGAUAGCGGAAUUGCUAAUGUAGAGGUGAAAUUCGUAGAUAUUAGCAGGAACACCGGUGGCGAAGGCGGCUAUCUGGACGACAACUGACGAUUAGGCGCGAAAGCGCGGGGAUCAAACAGGAUUAGAUACCCUGGUAGUCCGCGCUGUAAACGAUGGAUGCUAGCCGUUGGGGGGUUACCCCUCAGUGGCGUAGCUAACGCGUUAAGCAUCCCGCCUGGGGAGUACGGUCGCAAGAUUA
This 369-nucleotide ribosomal RNA is filed under the name uncultured organism. Its description in RNAcentral is "bacterial SSU rRNA". It matches the Rfam family "Bacterial small subunit ribosomal RNA", at positions 526 to 896 of the family's 1533-position model. The record is from RNAcentral.